CCUACGGGCGGCAGCAGUGGGGAAUAUUGCACAAUGGGCGCAAGCCUGAUGCAGCCAUGCCGCGUGUGUGAAGAAGGCCUUCGGGUUGUAAAGCACUUUCAGCGGGGAGGAAGGCGUUAAGGUUAAUAACCUUGUCGAUUGACGUUACCCGCAGAAGAAGCACCGGCUAACUCCGUGCCAGCAGCCGCGGUAAUACGGAGGGUGCAAGCGUUAAUCGGAAUUACUGGGCGUAAAGCGCACGCAGGCGGUCUGUCAAGUCGGAUGUGAAGUCCCCGGGCUCAACCUGGGAACUGCAUUCGAAACUGGCAGGCUAGAGUCUUGUAGAGGGGGAUAGAAUUCCAGGUGUAGCGGUGAAAUGCGUAGAGAUCUGGAGGAAUACCGGUGGCGAAGGCGGCCCCCUGGACAAAGACUGACGCUCAGGUGCGAAAGCGUGGGGAGCAAACAGGAUUAGAUACCCCGGUAGUC
RNAcentral lists this ribosomal RNA (465 nucleotides) under uncultured Klebsiella sp. Its description in RNAcentral is "bacterial SSU rRNA". It matches the Rfam family "Bacterial small subunit ribosomal RNA", at positions 338 to 795 of the family's 1533-position model. The record is from RNAcentral. Lineage: Bacteria; Pseudomonadati; Pseudomonadota; Gammaproteobacteria; Enterobacterales; Enterobacteriaceae.